AGAAUACUCCCUUCAUCCGAAAAUACUUGUUAUCAGAAUGAAUUAAAAUGAAUAUAUUUAGAACUAAAAUAUAUCUAGAUACAUCUCUUUUUAUUCAUCUUGAUGACAAGUAUUUCCGGACGGAGGGAGUACAUC
Triticum urartu is the source of this 135-nucleotide non-coding RNA. The record is from Rfam. Lineage: Eukaryota; Viridiplantae; Streptophyta; Magnoliopsida; Poales; Poaceae.